UGCGAUAAGUAAUGUGAAUUGCAGAAUUCAGUGAAUCAUCGAAUCUUUGAACGCACCUUGCGCUCCUUGGUAUUCCGAGGAGCAUGCCUGUUUGAGUGUCANUAAAUUCUCAACCUUCCAGCUUUUUAUAAGCUUGGUUAGGCUUGGAUGUGGGGGUUGUGGGCUUCAUUAAUGAGGUCAGCUCUCCUUAAAUGCAUUAGCGGAACUUUUGUGGACCGUCUAUUGGUGUGAUAAUUAUCUACGCCGUGGAUGUGAAGCAGAUUUAUGAAGUUCAGCUUCUAACCGUCCAUUGACUUGGACAUUUUUGACAAUUUGACCUCAAAUCAGGUAGGACUACCCGCUGAACUUAAGCAUAUCAAUAAGCGGAGGAAAAGAAACUAACAAGGAUUCCCCUAGUAACUGCGAGUGAAGCGGGAAAAGCUCAAAUUUAAAAUGCUGCUCGGUCAUU
Molecule: ribosomal RNA, 448 nt
Filed under: uncultured fungus
Lineage: Eukaryota; Fungi
Description: eukaryotic LSU rRNA
Rfam family: Eukaryotic large subunit ribosomal RNA (bases 314-448)
Source: RNAcentral